This 349-nucleotide unclassified non-coding RNA is filed under the name fungal sp. Its description in RNAcentral is "partial internal transcribed spacer region". The stretch from base 1 to 46 matches the Rfam family "Eukaryotic small subunit ribosomal RNA", at positions 1786 to 1831 of the family's 1831-position model. The record is from RNAcentral. Lineage: Eukaryota; Fungi.
AAGUCGUAACAAGGUUACCGUAGGUGAACCUGCGGUAGGAUCAUUAGUGAAAAGUUUAUCUUUAUCACAUUAAACUCAACCGUGAAACUUUCAACUUGGCAAGUUCCCAUAAAGUUAGAUUGGCUUAGGCUAAUAGGUAUUUAGGGCCCCUAUGAUGUGAAGCUCUUAGGCUAAACUGAAUUUGGGUGUAUUGUGGCCUUAGGCGCUAUGGCGGAUGCCAGAAGUCUUACUACACAAUAACACAGGCUUGCUGUAUUGCUAUUUUAGUGCUGUGGGAUUUAAGUUUAUGUUAUUGCCUAAGUAAAAAAACAAGAGUAUACAACCUUUAACAAUGGAUCUCUUGGCUCCU